GACGAACGCUGGCGGCGUGCUUAACACAUGCAAGUCGAACGGAAAGGCCUCUUUCGGGGGGUACUCGAGUGGCGAACGGGUGAGUAACACGUGAGUAACCUGCCCUUGACUUUGGGAUAACUUCAGGAAACUGGGGCUAAUACCGGAUAGGAGCUCCUGCUGCAUGGUGGGGGUUGGAAAGUUUCGGCGGUUGGGGGUGGACUCGCGGCUUAUCAGCUUGUUGGUGGGGUAGUGGCUUACCAAGGCUUUGACGGGUAGCCGGCCUGGGAGGGUGACCGGCCACAUUGGGACUGAGAUACGGCCCAGACUCCUACGGGAGGCAGCAGUGGGGAAUAUUGCACAAUGGGUGGAAGCCUGAUGCAGCAACGCCGUGUGCGGGAUGACGGCCUUCGGGUUGUAAACCGCUUUCGCUCAUGACGAAGCUUUGUGUGACGGUAGUGGGUAAAGAAGCACCGGCUAACUACGUG
Molecule: ribosomal RNA, 467 nt
Filed under: uncultured bacterium
Lineage: Bacteria
Description: partial 16S ribosomal RNA
Rfam family: Bacterial small subunit ribosomal RNA
Source: RNAcentral